CAAUAGCGUAUAUUAAUGUUGUUGCAGUUAAAAAGCUCGUAGUUGGAUUUCUGGUGGGAGCGGCCGGUCCGCCGUAAGGUGUGUACUUGGUUGUCUCCUGUUAUCCUUGUGGGAACUGCUCUGGCAUUAAGUUGUCGGGGUUAGGGAACACAUCGUUUACUGUGAAAAAAUUAGAGUGUUUAAAGCAGGCUUAUGCCGUUGAAUACAUUAGCAUGGAAUAAUAAGAUAGGACUUUGGCGUCUAUUUUGUUGGUUUGCACACCAAGGUAAUGAUUAAUAGGGAUAGUUGGGGGUAUUCGUAUUUAAUUGUCAGAGGUGAAAUUCUUGGAUUUAUGAAAGACGAACUUCUGCGAAAGCAUUUACCAAAGAUGUUUNCAUUAA
RNAcentral lists this ribosomal RNA (380 nucleotides) under uncultured eukaryote. RNAcentral's name for it is "partial 18S ribosomal RNA". It matches the Rfam family "Eukaryotic small subunit ribosomal RNA", at positions 592 to 976 of the family's 1831-position model. The record is from RNAcentral.